Molecule: unclassified non-coding RNA, 244 nt
Filed under: Hevea brasiliensis (rubber tree)
Lineage: Eukaryota; Viridiplantae; Streptophyta; Magnoliopsida; Malpighiales; Euphorbiaceae
Source: RNAcentral
GACUUGGUGGAUGAUGAUGAUGAUAACGUUGAGCUUCUCCGAACCAUUGUUACCAUGGCCGAUUUGAUGGCUCUUCUUCAGCAGAAGCAAGACCUGUGGCUGAGCAAACAAGUAAAACAAGAAAAACAGAGAGUUGUUUCGUCAUCAUUUCAGUGAAGAUACAUUAAAGCUAAAAGCAAUUUGGAGAAGAAAGCAGUGAAGAGAAAUGUGGAAUUUGGUACCCUUUUAUAGUUAAGGGCUAUUU